ACCAACCCACCUUCACUUCAUCUUCUUCAUCACAACCCAAAACACUUUGAUUUACAGAGAGAUAUUCAAUAUCCCAUUCACUACUCAGUAUCAGUUCUUUUACUGUUGAUUGUUGUUUGAGUUUUGGAGGAAGAAAAUUAAGAAGAUGAGUCAUAUGGGGAAAGCUUGGAUAGUGGCAGCAAGCGUGGGAGCAGUGGAGGCACUCAAGGAUCAGGGCUUCUGCAGAUGGAAUUACACUAUGAGGUCUAUUCACCAGCAUGCCAGGAACAGCCUCAGGUCUUUUUCUCAGGUCAAGAAGCUCUCUUCCUCUUCCGCCAUGGUUUCUAGCAGAGUGAGAGACGAGAAAGCAAAGCAAUCAGAGGAGUCUCUGAGGACUGUCAUGUACCUGAGCUGCUGGGGACCCAACUGAGGAAGCAGAUCUGGAUAUGAAGAUGAUGAUCAUCCUACCACUGAAUCUUCCAUGGAGGGCAUAUCCCAAGAAAGUGAUAAGAACAAUCUUAGGCCCCUCUCUCAAGCUAGGAGCCUCUCUUCUUCUUCUUCCUAUAAGAUGGGUGUGAAGAGUAGUGGGGAAGAUGAGAAAAGGAAGAAGAAGACACAGAAAACAUUGGGGAAAGUCAUGCACUAGAGCUCCUGGGUCCCCAGUGGAGCAAUGGAUACAGAUUUUGCGGUGCAAUAUAAGAGUAAAAAUUUUGUAGACAACUGCAGAAAGAUGUGAUGAUCUUCAUGCGUACUUCAAAAAAAUGAAAUCAGAUAUCAGAUUUAUUAUCAUAAUAUUGUGUUGCCUUUUAUCAUUUUUUGCCAUGGGAUCACUAUCUUUGUUGGUUUUGAUUGAAUUUGAGCUUUAGCAGAUGGAGCAAUCAAGAGUUUGAAGCAAAAAGCACUUAAGAUCCACCUUCAGUGCAAUAUAUUUUGUUUUGAAUUGAUUGUGCAGGCAUUGUUCACCCCACAAUCCCUUCCUCCUCUCAGUCAAACUCAUAACUAUGGCUUGGCUCUAAUUUCAAUUCUCAAACAUCUUAACUGAAAAUCAUACUGAUGACUAAUAACAAUAAGUUCAACCUUUUAUGGCCUUUUUUUUUUUUCGGAGUGAUUGUUUGCGUGAUUCAUUUCAGACUUAAAAGAAUGAUGUUAUUGUGCCUAUACACAAAUUUUAUACUCAUGGUUUUAAUAGAAUCCCGUUCACUAUGUGAAAUUAAUAGUUUAAUAUAAUAUUAGAGUUUUAAUAUAUAGUAUUAUUUUAUAUUUUGAAAUUAGUAUUUUAAUAUAAUAUUAAAAUUUGUUCAGAUUUUCUGUUCGUUUUCUUGUUUAUUAAUCUUAUGGUUGGGUUUGAAAAAUGGAAAAUUUGAGAAAAAAAAAUGUGAGAAAAAAUUGAAAAAUAUACUUAAAAUUAAUAAAUUAUUUUUAGAUGCUUCAUUAAAUUUAUUAUAUUUUUAUAAAUUAUAAUUACAUUGAAUAAUUUAAAAAUAUAAAUUUUUUAAAUUAAUUUUAAUGACUUUUUUUUCCUUCUUUAAAAUUUUCAUGAUAAACUAGAAAUUGUAAAAUCAUUUGUGUUUUUUUCACCCUAUGUUGGACUUUUCCGGCCAAAUAUAGCUUAACUUUAGGGUUGUAAUUUGGACAAGUUGAUCGGCCUGAUCAUUGAUGGUCAAUCCAGACUCAAUCCAACCUUAUUUUUAAAAAAUAAAGUUAGUUAGUGGAGUUAAACUCAAAUUGAUUAGAUUAAACUUUAUAUUAAAACUUGGAUUGAUUAGGUUAAAUUUUAUGUUAAAAUUUGGAUUGAUUGGUUUAAAUUUCACCUUAAAAUUUGGAUUGAUUGGGUUAAACUUGAGUUGAUCCAAUUGAUUGAUUGUGUUGUAUAAUUCAAAAUUCAUUAAUAAUAGUUUUUUUUUUAAUUUUAUACAUUUAUACCAAAAUUUAGUUAGUAAUAAGACAAAAUUUCAAACAAUAAUAAUAAUAAUAAUAAUAAUAAUAAUAAUAAUAAACUCAUUUUUUUUUUCAAAAAAUGAAAAAAAUAUACUAAAUGAUCACAAUUUAAUAUUUUUCUUUAAAAUUUUAAAAAUAAAUAAAUAUUAUUAUAUUAGAUAAUAAAUAUUAUAAAAACAUUAAAUUUGGUUUGACUCGGAUUAUAGCCUAAAUCUAAUUCAAAUUGAAUUUUGGUUGUGAAAAAACUUAACCCAACCAAAUAUUGGAUUAAGUUGGGUCAACCCGUCAAAGUUAUACCCGUGACUUGUUUGGGCAUCUCACAGAAUUUAGUCAAACAGCUGAAAAUUAAUGGACUCCAGUGGGCAGAGUAAGUAAAGCAAAUUGUUUUGGAUUGCCGCAUUGUCACUUCUGAAACCAGCGGUUUCAGUCCUUUCACCCUUUUAGCAGGAAAACAGGGGGCACACCUCCUGGCAACUGCGACCAUAAUAACACUUAGUCGGGAAUAAAAAUGUAGCUGAAAAACCAAUCAUGCCCAAAUGUAACCUACUUUAGCAUUACAAAUCUAAGGACAAAGUAGUCAUUCCAAUUCAAACCAAACAAACCCAUGAAUACUGCUGGCCACAGCCUCUGGUUUUUGCCAAACGUUGGGCACCAAAUCCAAACCCAUCUAUUGCUAUAUAACCAACCCAUCUUCACUUCAUCUUCUUCAUCACAACACAAACACUUUGAUUUACAGAGAGAUCUUCUAUAUCCUAUUCACUACUCAGAAUCAGUUCUUUUUAUUGUUGAUUGUUGUUUGAGUUUUGGAGAGAGAAUUAAGAUGAGUCAUAUGGGGAAAGCUUGGAUAGUGGCAGCAAGUGUGGGAGCAGUGGAGGCACUCAAGGACCAGGGCUUCUGCAGAUGGAAUUACACUCUGAGGUCUAUUCACCAGCAUGCCAAGAACAACCUCAGGUCCUUUUCUCAGGCCAAGAAGCUCUCUUCUUCCUCUUCCGCCAUGGUUUCUAGCAGAGUGAGAGACGAGAAGGCCAAGCAAUCAGAGGAGUCUCUGAGGACCGUCAUGUACUUGAGCUGCUGGGGACCCAACUGAGGAAGAAGAUAUGAAGAUGGAUGAUCACCAGCAUACUAGUGAAGCAUCGAUGGAGGGCAUAUUCCAAGAAAGUGAUACGAACAACUUAGUUCCCUCUUUCAAGCUAAGAGCCUCUCUUCUUCUUCUCCUCCUUAUUCUUAUAAGAUGGAGGUGAAUAGUGGCGGAGAAGGUGAGAAAAGGAAGAAGACACAGAAAGUAAUGGGGAAAGUCGUGGGCUUGAGCUCCUGCGGUCCCAGUGAAGCAAUGGAUAGAGAUUUUGAGGUGUAACAUAAGAGUAAACAUUUUGUAGAGAUCUGCAGAUAGAUAAGAUGAUUUUAAUGUGUACUUAAAAAAAUGAAAUAAGAUUUCAGAUUUAUCAUCAUAAUAUUUGUGCCAUGGGACUAUCUUGGUUAGUUUUUUAGAGGGUUAAAAACUAAUUCUACUUUGGAAGAAAGGAAUCACCUUCAAAUUAAGCCAUCUUUCGAGCAGUUUGGAAAAACCCUUAUCUAAUAAAGACCUCUAUAAAGUACAAAAAGGUUGUGCUUUUACCAUAAAAAAGGUUGUUUCAAGCCCGAGAACAUCAGAAAUCAUCAUGCCAAGGUUGAUAGAGUUGCUAACAUACAGAUAAGAAAUUUUACCCAAAAAAAUAAAAUAAAAAAAUUAAAGCUUUGUCUUGAAAAGUCUCUCAAAUUCAGAUUCAUUUUUGGAAGAAGAAUAAGAGAUAUCUAAGUGAAGUGAGGGGUUCGUGGACAGGAAAUUUAAGAUAUUUUAAUAAUCCAAUAGUUUUAUUUGAUUUUUAUCAUAGUAUAAUAAAAUAAUUCUCUUUUAUUUGUGGAUGUAAGUUAAUCAAAACAUGUUAAGAUCUCGUGUAUUUUUGUGUGAAUUAUUUUAUUUUUACAUUCUAAAAUUAAUAUUUUUGUAUUAAAGCUUACAUUGAUACCAAAGCUAUGUUGAAGAUUUGUAAAAGAACAAAAAAAAAAAAAAAAAUAGUACACAAAAAAAAUGAUAAAAUGAAUUUUAAUUGAAAGUGAAGUUGAUUGUUUCCAAAACAUGAUACAAAAAAUAUGUUAUGAAAAGAUGAAAAAUUAACUUAAUGGAAUUUGAUGUCGAGAUUGUUCAAGAGUGCCUUAAAUUCUUAUUAAUAUUGAUUGAUUUUUAUAAGGAAUAUUGUAUAUAAUAUAUUUUAAGUUAAUAUAUUAUUAUAAUAUUAGAUUUCUUUAUUCAGUAAAGAAAGUUAUUAAAAAUAUUUUUAUAAAUAUUUUAAAUCUUAUAAGAUGAAGAUUAACUUGUAAAAAUUAUAUGAGAUGGAUAAAGAUGUAUAAAAAAAAUGAAAGAUAUCUUGAAUGAUGUAGUGAAAUGAUUCUCUCAUUCGCAUAUAUAGGCAUGAUUCAUCGAAUCAUAUUAAAACCUCAUGUAUUUUCCGGUGGAUUGUUUUAUUUUUAUGUUUUUAAACCAAUAUGUUUGUGUUAAGAUUUUCCCUUACCCAACACCUUCAACCCUCUCUUUUAUUUAUUUUUUUCAUUAUAUUUAUAAAGAGGUUUAUCCAAAGAUCUCAAUCCCUUGUCCUCAUCUUACCGUCUUUGAUCUAUCCGAGGAAUUUUAGUUUCUUUGGUAAUGAUUAAUUUUGAAUCUUACAAAACAAAACAAUCAAAAGUUUGAAACAAAGCAAGAUGCAUCAUUUAGACAAUUGGUUCAAAGGCUUCAUGAUAGACGUUACAUCCCAACAGUCAUUUAUGCUCUUAUAAGUCAAAUUCAUAAUCCAAUGUAUUAUUAGUUCAUUAUGUGAAAUUAAUAACUCAGCUAACAUUAGAGGUUUCAUAAAACACUAGAAUUUGUUCACAUUUUUGUUAGGUGAGCUCACAGAAUUCAAGUCCAAUUGGCAACUACUCCAAAAGUGAAUGUUAUUGAACUCCAAUAAGCAACUUGUUUUAGACUGCCGCAUUGUGGCUUUGGAAACCAGCGGUUUCACUCCUUUCACUCCUUUAGCAGGAAAACAGGGGACACAUCUUUGGCAGCUGCCACCAUGAUAAUUCUUAGUAGGGACCACACAAGUGGGUGAAAACCCAAUCAUACCCACAUCUAACUCCCCUUAGCAUUACAAAUCCAAGGACAAAGUAGUCAUUCCAAUUCAAACCAAACAAACCCAUGAAUACUGCUGGCCACAGCCUCUGGUUUUUUCCUAAAGUUUGGGCACCAAAUCCAAACCCAUCUCUUUUCUAUAAAACCAACCCACCUUCACUUCUUCUUCUUCAUCACAACACAAACACUUUGAUCUACAGAGAGAUCUUCAAAAUCCCAUUCACUACUCAAAUCGGUUCUUUUUAUUGUUGAUUGUUGUUUGAGUUUGGAGAAAGAAAAUUAAGAAGAUGAGUCAUAUGAGGAAAGCUUGGAUAGUGGCAGCAAGUGUGGGAGCAGUGGAGGCACUCAAGGACCAGGGCUUCUGCAGAUGGAAUUACACUAUGAGGUCUAUUCACCAGCAUGCCAAGAACAACCUCAGGUCCUUUUCUCAGGCCAAGAAGCUCUCUUCUUCCUCUUCUGCCAUGGUUUCUAGCAGAGUGAGAGAUGAGAAGGCAAAGCAGUCAGAGGAGUCUCUGAGGACUGUCAUGUACUUGAGCUGCUGGGGACCCAACUGAGGAAGAAGAUAUGAAGAUGGAUGAUCACCAGCCUACAGCGAAGCAUCCAUGGAGGGCAUAUUCCAAGAAAGUGAUAACUCAUAAGUGGAGUGGAGAUCAGUUUCAUGGAAUUUUUCCUAGAAGACAAACAAGGUGGAAAUCCAGAAAUUAAUUAGAACCAACUGCUAAUAGUUGGCGUCUCUGAGUUAGGAAUUUGUUAGCAAAAGGCAGCUUUGGUAUAUAUACUAAUAUACGAGAUGAUUUCAAUGUAUAUUUGAAAUAGAAAUUAGAUUUAUUAUCAAAACGAUUGCGUUGUCUCGUCUUUUAUAUUUUCCAGAUCCAAACAGAUCCUAAAGGCCCUAAAAUUUUUGUUGUAUCAUUUUUAUGCUAAAAAAUUACACAUAGAAAAAUUAACUAAAUCAUAAGUAGCUUCUAACCAUGAAUUGUUUUUUUUUUUUUAAGCCUAUAAAUUUUAUGCUUUAGAUACAUGCAUUAAAAAUCUAUCUAAACCAUAUAUAAUUAUUUUAAUGCAGUUAUAUAACUGAUAAAAAUAGAAAUAAAUUUAAUAAAUAUAAAAUAAUAAAAUAUUAGGAUAAGUAUUGAAGAUCAAUUUUCAGUCUUCAAACUUAAUCGAACUUGAAAGUGGAUGGCGAUGGAUACAAUGAUUUGAGCCAGGUCUUAAAUCUUUAACUUAAUGGAGCAAUUAUUGUAAUCUACUUAAUAAUUGGUCAGUAUAAAAUUAAAUAAUAAUAAAAGGAGAAAGAAAAGGACACGUGUUUGACGUGGACGUUGCCAAAACAGCGGUUUCAGACAGGCCUUUUACUGCCCGAGCGCCAGUGGAUUAACAAAGAAAACAAUGAGCACAUCAGUGGAAGCGGCACCAGCUACCAAGUAUGCAGCUGAAAUGCCCCUUGGAAUUACAAAUCGAAGGACAAAAGAGUCAUUCCAGACCAACCCAGAAAUACAGCUGACCCCUGCCUCUGGUUUUUCCCCAAACCUUGUGCCUUUCUCUAUCUAUAUAAUCCAGCCCACCUUCUCUCCAUCUUCUUCAUCGCAACACAAACGCUUUGAUUUACUGAGAGAUCUUCCAUAUCAAUUCACUACUGAGAUUGUUGUUUGGGCUUUGAGUUCUUGGGAAAGAAAGUUAAGAAGAUGAGUCAUAUGAGGAAAGCUUGGGUGGUGGCAGCAAGCGUGGGAGCAGUGGAGGCACUCAAGGAUCAGGGCUUCUGCAGAUGGAACUACACUCUGAGGUCUAUUCACCAGCAUGCCAAGAACAACCUCAGGUCCUUUUCUCAGGCCAGGAAGCUCUCUUCUUCCUCUUCUGCAAUGGUUUCUAGCAGAAUGAGAGACGAGAAGGCAAAGCAGUCAGAGGAGUCUCUGAGGACUGUCAUGUACCUGAGCUGCUGGGGACCCAACUGAGACGUUCCACAUUUCGAGUGAUCAAGAAGAAGAUGAUGAUGACGAAAGAUUCAUGGAGGGAGCAUGUGAAGGAAGUCAUGAGAAGGGGAGAUGAAAACCAUUAAUGGAGAAGAGAGAUCCAUCUGUGGAUGAAGGCAGUGGAAAUUUGGAGCCGAGUGAGUCAUGGGUAAUGGUUCUUAUGAGUUGGGAAAUUAUCAGCAAAGUGCUUUCUCAACCUCAGAUGCUUUGGGAGGAAUGGGAAUUUACCAGAAAAUUGCAAGUACAUAUGUAUGAUGCUUUUUAUGCAUAAUUUGUCCGAAAGCAAUAAUAAUCAGAUUAAUUUUCAGCUAUACUUCUUCUGAGAUAUGGAAUUUGUUGGUUCUGAUUUAAUUUCAAUGAAAUUGAUUAUUUUGUAAUUCUAAAGAAAAUUGGAUUAUUCUGUAAAUUCUAUUAUUUUAUUGUUGUAUAAAGGUAAAUUCUUCUAUCAUUUGUUUUGAUAUAUUCAAAAUUAGACACAGAAAUUAAAAAAAAAAAAAAAAAAUCCACUAUUCCAAGCCAACCCGCAGCCCAAGCUGACGGGUGCAUCCAACCAGGUAGCCAUGUUCAGGGAAAACAGCGGUUUCACCCACAUUUUUACUCCUUGCGCAAUGGAAAAAAAAAAAGAAAAGCGAUUAAAGCCCAAAAUGCCCAUGUAUCUCUUCAUUUGCCAUUAGAAGUAUAUGCACAAAACAGUCAUUCCAUCCACCCCUCACCAACCCAAAAAUCCUGGUAACCACAGCCUCUGGUUUUCCCCCACACCUAUGUCUUUUAAACAAUGGGCACACUACUGCCGACUGCCCCUACGCUUACUGCUUACAUUAGUUGAGGAUGAGUGAUGGGGCCAAGGCCAACUAUGUAGGUGAAUUCCCAAUUAUACCCACCUGAAUCCGCCCUCAAUCUGACCAAUCCGAGGACAAACGUAAUAAUCAUUCCAAUUCAGAUCAAGCAAACCCAUGAAAACUGCUGGCCACAGCCUCUGGUUUUUUCCCAAACUUUGGGCACCCGAUCCAAACCUAUCUCUUUCUAUAAAACCAACCCACCUUCACCUCAUCUUCUUCAUCACAACACAAAACACUGGAUUUACAGAGAGAUCUUCAAUAUCCAUUCACUACCCAGAAUCAGGUCUUUUUAUUGUUGAUUGUUGAUUGAGUUUUGGAGAAAGAAAAUUAAGGAGAUGAGUCAUAUGGGGAAAGCCUGGAUAGUGGCAACAAGCAUGGGAGCAGUUGAGGCAUUGAAGGAUCAGGGCUUCUGCAGAUGGAAUUACACUAUGAGGUCACUUCACCAGCAUGCCAAGAACAACCUCAGGUCCUUUUCUCAAGCCAAGAAGCUCUCUUCUUCCUCUUCUGCCAUGGCUUCUAGCAGAGUGAGAGAAGACAAGGCAAAGAAAUCAGAGGAGUCCUUGAGGGCUGUCAUGUACUUGAGCUGUUGGGGACCCAACUGAGACCCACCAAAAAUUAGUAGAGAGUUGUAAACAUGUAUGAUGAUUUUUUUAUGUAUUUUUUUGAAAAAAAAUCAGAUUAGGUAUCAGAAAUUCAGAAUGAUUGUUUUUUGCACUUUGUUUUUACAUGCCAUGGGAUUUGGAGUUGGUUAGUUUUGACUGAGCAUGAAAGGCAGGCCAGGGUUUUAAAGAAUUGAAUCAUUCACUGGAGAUGGAAUCUCUCUCAGAGAAAUCCUUAUUCUCUACAACCUUGGCAAAUGGCAAGCCACUAAGAGGGAAAACACAAAAAAUAAAAAUAAAAUAAAAUAAUAAUAAUUGUAGAGGAGAUAUUUGCCAAUAUAUAAAACUUAUAUUUUUGUAUUAUUAUUGAAUAAAUUAGAUUUUAUCAUACACUUAAAUAAUGGAGAUACAAAUUCAAUAUAAUACUUUUUUUUUGGUUAAUUUUAAAAGGUUUCUAAGGAAAUUAAGUCUUAAUCAAACAACUUUUAUUGAUCUUUUACAAUAUGAAUUUAUCUCUUUAAAAUAAUUUUAAUUUAGCAUUUAAAAUUUUCCGUUGAACUUUUUCACCAAAUGAGAAGUAAAAACGUAACAGAGGAAUGCAGGACUUUAAAGUGAAGUUGUCUUUUUUUGAACAAGCUAACUUUAAGUCUCGUUUUUUAAGAGAACUUUUCAUAGAAUUUGAAUUAUUUAUUUAACGAUAAAUUUUCAUGAUUUUUUUUUUAAAUUUACACCAUUUUGAAAGGGAAACUUGUAUUUUGAUGGAGCAAUUUGGAAAAUAUAUGAUUUUUGGAAUCCAACUUCACGAAAUCUGAAAACUAACUUUUAAUGUGAAAAAUUAUAUAUUUUUCAUGCACUCUAAGUCGGUUGCAUAUUUUUGUGCUAAGAUUAUUUUUAGGUUUAGUGAUUUUCCAAAAUUAUCCUUUUUGUUUUUUUUUUUUUUCUCUUGUACCCAUCAUCUGCCUCUCCCUCCCUCCCCAGUGAAAUUGGUUGGUAUUUUGCCGACGUCAUCACCAACCGCCACCCACACUUCUCUCCCGUUGGCAAUCUCCUCCUUUCUCCAUUUCCUUCCCUCUUUCUCUCUCUCUUUCAUUCCCUUUCGACAUCACCAAGAGAGAAGAAGGCGGUGGCAAUGGUGGAGAACCGGGGUUGGAGGGAAGAAGGUGCGACUGGUUGCCAUUGACGGUGGCAACCAGUAACUCUCGCAGUCAUUGACAACGGUGGUGGUGGAAGCACCUAAGUGGGGAGAGACGUCAAGGAGAGGUGGGAGGGAGGCGGACGAGGGGACCACGUCUUUCCCUACGCUGGUGCUUUCGCCGUCGCCACUGUCAAUAAUCGUGAGAGUUGUUGGUUGCUGUUUGUCGCGCCUUCUUCCCUCUAGCCCUGGUUCUCCACCAUUGCCACUGCCCUCUUCUCUCUUGAUGAUGUCGAAAGGAAAUGAAAGAGAUAAAGAAAGAGGGAAGGGAAUCGGAGAGGGGGAAAUUAAUGAUCGGAGAAAUGUGUGAGUGACGGCCGAUUUCACAAGGGAGGGAGGAAGAGGCGGAUGGUGGUGGGUAUAGGAGGAAAAUAAACAAAAAGGAUCACUUUGGAAAAUCACUAAAUCCAAAGGUAAUCUCGACACAAAAUAUGUAGCCGGUUCAGAGUGCAUGAAAAAUAUAUAAUUUUCCAUAUUGAAAAUUGAAUUUUAGAUUUCAUAAAGUUGGAUUCUAAAAACCAUAUAUUUCUUAAAUUUCCUCAUCAAAACAUAAGUCUGCAUUUUGAAAAGGAAAAACCCAAUGAAAUAUGUUCGUACUUCGUAUAGACCGUGGAGUGGGGUGUGAAAAAAACAAAGAAAUAGACACGUGCUUGAAAUCCGGCCGUGCACAUUACCCCAUUGGAAAACAGCGGUUUCAUCCUCCUUACUCUUUGAGCGUUGAGUGGAUUCACAAACAAAACAAUGGGCACGUACUGCGGACUGCCCCACACCAACACUGAGGGCCAACUAUGUAGGUGAAUACCCAAUUAUACCUACAUGAAUCAGCCGUCAAUCUUACAAAUCCAAGGGCAAAGUAGUCAUUCCAAUUCAAACCAAACCAAGCCAUGAUUCAUGAAAACUGCUGGCCACAGCUCCCGGUUUUUCCCUAACUUUGGGCACCAAAUCCAACCCAUCUCUUGCUAUAUAACCAACCCACCUUCACUUCAUCUUCUUCAUCACAACACAACUACCUUGAUUUACAGAGAGAUCUUCUAUAUCCAUUCACUACUCAGAAUCACCUCUUUCUAUUGUUGAUUGUUGUUUGGGUUUCGGAGAAAGAAAAUUAAGAUGAGUCAUAUGGGGAAAGCUUGGUUAGUGGCAGCAAGUGUGGGAGCAGUGGAGGCACUCAAGGAUCAGGGCUUCUGCAGAUGGAACUACACUCUGAGGUCUAUUCACCAGCAUGCCAAGACCAACCUCAGGUCCUUUGCUCAGGCCAAGAAGCUCUCUUCUUCCUCUUCUGCCAUGGUUUCCAGCAGAGUGAGGGAGGAGAAGGCCAAGCAGUCAGAGGAGUCUCUGAGGACUGUCAUGUACUUGAGCUGCUGGGGACCCAACUGAAGAAGAAGAUAUGAAGAUGGAUGAUCAUCAGCCUGCACUUGAAGCAUCCAGAGAGGGCAUAUUCCAAGAAAGUUAUGGAAAAUUAAGAUGAAGAAACUGCAGUGAAGCAAUUUCAUGGAAUUUUUGCUUGGAGACUCCCGAAUUACAACCAAUUGCUCAGGGUUGGGAAAAUUGGAAUUGCUGUAAAUUGUGACUGGUUCUUUGUAAAACCCAAAUCAUUUAGCUAGAAAUUGAAAAUACAUUUUAAUUUAAUUUAUAGUUUCUCUGUUAGAAUAUUAGACCCAAUUCCUAAAAAGCUUGUCAGUCUUGUAUUAGACCCAAGCUCAAGCGCAUUAAGAAAAAAUAUGGCAGAUUUGGUCACAUAGGGGAUGAAGAGGUGAUAAAGUAGAUACAACGCCCAAAAUUAAACUCUCAAUCAAUUUAAUUGAACAAAUAAUCAUAAAAGAGAUUUUUUAAAUUUAUGAUUUUUGAAAAAGAAAAUUCCAGUGAAAUAUGUUCAUGUAGACUGUGUGGUAGGAUGAAGACUAAACAAAGAAAUGGACACGUGGUUGAAGUCCGGCCCUACACAUUGCCCCAUUGGAAAACAGUGGUUUCAUCCUCCGUACUCUUUGGGCGUUAAGUGGGUUCACAAACCAAACAAUGGGCUGCCUUAACGUGGUGUUUAUUUUUUUACUUAAUUCUAAAUAGAAUCUUAAUAUUUAAUCGUAUUAAAUAUUAGAUUAUUUAUUUUUUAGUAUUUUAUUUUUAUUAAGUAUUAAAAAGUAAAAAAAAUCAUUGUGUUAUUUUUUCUAUUUAGAAAAAAUUAUAUAUUUUGAUUUUUUCUAUUUAGUAAAAAGUUUAUAAUAAGUCAUUAAAAAGUAAAAAAACAAACCAUCUAAAUUCUAAAACUAAAUGAUUUUUAGCAAAAAGCCAAAAAAACAAACACCACUUUAGACUGAGGACAAACUAUGUAGGUGAAUAUCCCAUUAUACCUACAUGAAUCAGUGGUCAAUCUUACAAAUCUAAGGACAGAGUAGUAAUUCCAAUUCAAACCAAACAAAGCUAUGAGAACUGCUGGCCACAGCCUCUGGUUUCCCCAAAACUUUGGGCAGUAUUCCUCAAAGAAUCAAGUGGGCUAGAUUUAACAACUUCGUCCACCAUGGUUAGAUUAUUGGGGGCUAGAGUAAAUAACUUCAUCCACCAUGGUUAGAUUAUUGGUAUCUCGAUGGGAGAAGUUGUUUUGAUGGAAAAACAUUGUAUUUUAUUAUUUUGUAAAUUUUAUCAUCACUCAUAUAUAUUAUUUUUUAUUUAAAAUUAAAUAAAAAAUUAAAAUUCUUAGAAAAUACGAAAAGAAAGUAUAUCACAAUCUUUAUUUUCUAUUCUAAAAUUAAAAAAUAAAAAUAAAAUUAUGAAGAAAAAAGUACAUUCCAACUUACAUUAAUUAAGGGAUGAUAUACUCUGCAAAUAAAAAAUAUAAAAAAUAAUUAAAGGUUAAAUAAAUCACUUAAUAAAUCGGUAGUAGGGGUUGAUGGUUUCAUUAUUAGACUAUAACAAGGAUUUUCAUUUUCAUUUUCUUUUUAAAUGCAUUUCAUGGUGGUGUAGAAUUUUUUUGUAUAAGGGUUUUUAAAUUGUAAUAUAGAUUAUAUAUAUAGUUGUGUUUUGUCCUAAAUUCUGACUUCCAAGUUUUCAACAUUAUAUAAAAAUCCCUAAAAUCACCUACUUCGUACGUUUUCUAACAUUAUAUAAAAAGCCCUGAAUUCACCUAUUAGAAAAAUGUUAUUUGGUGCGCUAUCAUUACCAUGACCUCAACCUCGUGCAAAGAUAUCGAGUGGUUACUAAUAGUAAAAAAUAAAUAAUAAAAACAAAAUAUAUUCAUUAUUAUUAUUAUUAUUAUUUUGUACUUUUACCAUCCAUUAUUCACAUCUUAGCAUAUGAUAGAAAAGAUGAUAAAAGAUUAUUUAUGUUGUAUGAUUUUAAGUGAAAUGAUCAAAAUAUUUAAAGAAAAAAUUAAUAAUUCAUGAAGAAUUUUUGGUAAAUUUAUAAAUUUGUAAUAAAUAUUGAUAAAUGAUAAACAAAGUAGUUUUUAAAGUGGUUGCAGUAGUUAAACAUUGUAUCUUAUUAUGAUUUUCCACCUUCAAAACUUAAUAAUAAAAUUUCAUAACAAAUUUUUAUCUAUUUGAAACUUUUGAAAUGUGGAAUCUUUUCUUGGACAUUUUUAUAUAUACAUUUGUGAAUUUUAUCUUUAUUUUUUAUUUAUAAAAUUAAAGGAUAAAAUUAAAAUGUUAAAAAUAAAAGAGAAGUAUAUCCCAACUUGCAUCAAUUAAGAGAAGAUAUAUAAAGCACAUGAAGAAUGCAAAAAAAAUUAAUGAUAAAAUAAAUCACUUAUUAGAUAGUAUUUAAUGAUUUACAUUAUUAGAUUGUAGAAAUGAGUUAUAUUUUUAUUUUUGUGUAUAGGGGAUUUUAAAUUAUAAUAUAUAUUUUUAUUUUUGAGUUAGUUUUCUUUGUUGAUACAUAGUUUUUUUUUUGUCUUGGAUAUUGUGUUAUCAGCAGUUUUAAAAGAAAUAAAAAUUAUUUAUCCCACAUCGAUUCAAAACUAAAAAUAUUAUAUAUAUUUAUUAAAACUUUGAUACCCUUAAAAAAUACAAGUACAACCAAUAAGCAAGCAUAGGGAUGACAACGGGGCGGGUAUGGGACAUGCCACCCCUACCCCAUUUCCAUCCCGGUUAUAUAUUUUUUUGCCCAUCCCUGUCCCAAACUCGGGGCGGGGCGAGUUGGUGUCCCCCUUACCUGUUUACAAAAGAGCUGAUAAUCUCAUCCCCAUCCCAAAUGUAUUUUCGGGAAUUAUGCUUUUACAAAACAUGGGUCUCUGAAAUUUCAAUAAACGUUAUAUGGGUUAUCAUAAACACAUUUAAUCAAGCAUUUGUUGUGCAACAAAACUACAAACUGCACAUAUGAGAACAAAAUGCACAGAUCUACAAAUAAACAACCCAAAAAAUCUCAAAUCCAUAAACCAAAACCAGAAAAAUAUGAAAAACAAGACAUUCUAACAAAGCCUCAAAACUUAGGGUUUUCUUACCUGGAAAUGAGGAAUCCAUAGAAACCCUAAUAAUUUGUUGUCUACGAAUUUGGUUUUUGGUUUUUAGAGCAAAAAUUGUGCUUUUAGGGUGAAAUGGGAAGAAGCAAUUUAGGAAUAAAUGAGAAAACGGGAAGAAAUGAGAAAACGAAAGGCCUUUUACGAGCAAAAGAACCCUGAGCAAUUUAGGAAGAAAUGAGAAAACGGGAAGAAAUGAGAGCGAAAGCCCUCUAACUCUCUCAUGAGCAAAAUAACCCUAAAACUUGAGGAAGAAAUGAUUAUAUGUGUAGGACUUUUUGGGUAUUUUGUAAUGACAUAAGGGUAAAUUGGUAAUUCACAUACGGGGCGGGGCAGAAACUGCAAAACCCAUCCCUGCCUUAAACCCAAUUCGGGUUUUUAUAUAUUCCCCAAACCCUUUUUAUACCCGAAUAGGAUAUUCUCAUACCCGUCCCAAUAGGGACGGGGCGGGUGACCCGAAUUACCCGGAAAAUUGUCAUUCCUAAGCAAGCAUUGAGCUAAAUCCUAAUCUCACAUUCCUACUUGAAACUUUACACUCACAUAAAAACAACUCACCACUUGACUCGAGGGACUAUUCCGUAACUUCUCACUACCAACAACCAGGCACUAUUCAACCUCUCGCUCACUUAUAAAUUCACUCCCUACCUGCAUAUUCAAAACGUAUCUCACUACUAUUCUACUCUACUAUUCUACUUUUCGUGGUUUCAUAUCUCACUAUUAUUCCACUUUUCGCGGUUUCAUAUCUCACUACUAUUCGCGUGUUCAAAGUGUAUCCCUCCCUGAAUUAAUUGUGAAUUAAUUUAGGCUUCAAAGUGUGUUGCUCUACAAUAUCCCUCCCAGUCAGGCCUCAAAGUAAGAACAACAACAUCUACAAUAUCUGCCAUGGCCACACAACCAAGGCAUGCGGUAUGCCGCAUUUUCUCAUGUCCUUUUCCCAUUUUGUUCCCUCUUUUCAUCUCCAUUUUGUUUUCAAUAUCCCCUUACCUUACUCAUAUUCUCUAAAAUUAGAUAAAAUUAUUAAUUUGAUCAUAUUUAUCUAACAUUUUUAAUUAAUACUACUAGUAUCUUAUUUUCAUAAAUCUAAUUGAAUUUCCUACUUAUUUAUUUAUUGUUUUCAUGACAAAACUUCAUCAACUUUCAUAUCUUUCCUUACAAUUCUGAGUUCAACUGUCCUUGCGAAAUACCAAUAUGAGAAUGUUUCCCCAUUUGCCCAACACAACAUAGGUAUGCAAAUCUCCUUAUUUGCAUCAUUUAUAUAUUUCAUGAUGGUUGUGGUUUAUGAAAUCCUUGAUUCUAAUGGAACUAUCAAAAUUGAAGAAGAUGGAAGAUAUCUCCUUAUUUUGAGUCAUGUUCGGUUCUUAAGUGGAACAGCAGCUGCAACUUUGUUGAUCCUGAUCUUGAUCCCAUAUUUUGGAUGGUUCUUUCUGAUCAUGUGGACCAUGUUCUUAGUGAAAAUAACAUGCUAUUGGGAUAAAACAUUUUAUAACUUUGACAUGUUCAAGAAUAAAAAAAAAUGCCAAUGAUAGGGAAGGAGGACAAGAGGAGCAACGACUCCAAGUUUAGAGUAGGUUUGGUCCAUCAGAGGUUAUUAGCAAAAAACAUAUUUUCUUCUUGUACUUUCGAAAGUGUUAAAUAAGUGUUAUAUUUUGAGUAAUGAGAGUAUUUUUUUCCUUUUUUCUUUUUUUCUAAUACAUUAUUGGUGAUUAUUCUUCGUCGGAAUACCCACAAGGCUAUUAGAUGUUUCAUUGCAAAAUAUGGUUUUAUAUGAUAGCAUUACGAUUGAACUAAUAAAACAUAUUUUUUGCAUAUUGUUUAGUUGGACCCCCCGACUACCUCUCGGUAAUAUCCUCUUAACAUAGGAAGUAUAAACUAAUAGCAAGUGCUAAUCUUUCCCAUUCUUACACAAGAAAGACCCAAGGAGAAGGUAUAUUUAGAAAUUGCAUAUCUAUGUUCCCAAACAAUAGAAAAUUCAAUAUAUGGCACUUCACUCUCUACUUUUCUUUCCCACAUUUUCUCAUAACCCAAAUAUGCUCACCUCUCAUUCUAAGAUCCAACCAUUGAAAAACAAUUACAAAAAUCCUAAUAAAAGAGAUAGAUCAUACUACAAUUACACUUUCUUACAAGAAAUUGAAGUGUAGAAGGUAUAACAAUUGAGUGAAACAAAUAAAAACCAACCUCCUUUAACACACAUGCUAAUGAAAUACUUGCAGAGACACUUUAAAUUUCUCCAGACUCCAAGAGAUAUUGAACAACAGCCUCGACACCUGCAGCGACGAGACCAUCACCUGAUACGAUAUAAUGCACAAACUCGGCACGGAAUCAAUAAGACUUGGUUGGAUUACAAAUUUUUUUUCAAACAUUCUCUUUUUCUUUCCAAUCACAAUAAAACAUCAGAAUAUUUUCAAAAAUAAAAAUCAGAAAUUCACCUUUCAAAAGCAAACACCCAUGAUUCUGAAAUUGGAGCUUUUAACCUAAAAGAUCAAAGAAGAUGAAGAAGAAAAAACCCAACCCCUGACUCGUUCGGAAAUAAGAGGAGAAACCACCGAAGGAUGAGGGCAUGAUUUAGGAUUUACUUACUUGAUUUUCCUAAAAAUCGAGAAUCAUCGGAGGGUGGAGGUUUGGUGUCAACGGUGGUAACUCGUCAAGUGGAUUGAAUCUUACAACAGCGACGUCGGCCAGGCAACCCUCUCACAGUCAGAUUGCUCUCCCUUCGGGGUCUUGCAUAGUUGCAAAUUUGCAAUUGUAGGUGGUGUCAUCUGUCGACGGUCUUGACAACAAUGGUGUUGUGCGAGUAUGGAAGAUUGGGAGCCUAAAUUGGUAAAGUAAAAAAUGCAUUUUAUAUGGAUUUACAUUGAUGAUAUGAGAUAGGAUUUGAUGGUAACAUAUUAAAUUAAAUUAAAUGAUUGAGUCCAAAAUGAUAUGGAUGGUAUGAGAUAGGAUUUAAUGAAAAAUUAAAUGUAUUUAUAUGGCAGAUUGAGAAUUAAAUCCACAAUUCUUAGUAGUAUUAUAAAUGGCUUUGAGUUAAAUGUGAAAAAGUUUUAUUAAUUUUUUAAGCUUAUUAAAUUUAUAUCUAUUUUUUAUAUAUAAUUUACAUAAUAUUUUUAUAAUUUUUUGAAAUUUCUAAUUAUCUUAUUUUGCGUGUUGCUUGAUAUUGAAUCAAGAUGUUGAGACCAACAUAUCUCGGGAACAUCUGAGUUAAUGAUCGAUAUCGCGACUUUGAACCAUGCUCGUCUCCAAUCCCUUAACAAUGAUGAAAAAUGAGGGCAACACAAUUACCCUUUUUAUUAUUAUCUGUUCAAAAUAAUACAUGCAUUAUAAUAUAAUUUUUUAAAAAUAUUUUACAAAAAAAUAUAUGUGGACCCCGUAUUUAGGCUCAUGCGUUUCCACUCGAUGGCGAGCUUGAUUUUAUUUUGAAAAUAAUUUUAUUUAUUAGAAAAUGACUUGGAGUCGCCACUUAUUUUUGUUUUAUUUUUAAAGGGUAAACAAAAUAAGAAAGAAAACCCUAAGUGUGACUCCUUAUUUUGGAAAAGGUGGUCUGUAAAAAAUUGGAUCGAGUUUGGGGGUCAGGUUACUUAUCGGGAAGGUACGGUAAAGACCGUAGCACCCCUUUAAGUCCCCAAAGUCGGGUCUCUACUAAUAAAAUGAAGUUGACGCAACAAUCAAUAAUAAAAACAAUGAAUACCGACAUGAUCACAUAUUGAAAGCCAAAACAUAUAAGGAUGAUGGUUAGAGUGAGAAAAAAUGCGUACCUGAUCAGCAAGCGGCAACGCGCUAUCAUAAAAUGAGGUUAGUGCACAAAUAAUGGACAUAAAACAUAGCUCACAAGCCACUGAAUCGAGUACAAAAUCAUCAGAUAUCACAAUUAAGUCAAAUUUAUUUUUCGGGGAAACAAUCACUGAUGUUGGGCCUUCACCAAAACCCAAUUUAUUCCUGUAUGAAUUAAUUUCGUAAAUUCCAUCACUUGGAAUUACAGAAUUUAAUUCACACUUAUUUUUAAAAUGUUUUAGAAAUCAUGGAAGUUAUGGAAAUCCAUGCCGAAGAAAAUGGCAACAAAAUUUUAUUAAAAAUGUGAUUUUUGGGACUUGAAAGCUCUAAGGAUGAAGAAUCUGGAAAAUAAUGCGAAAAAAAUGAGAUUUGGAAAAAAAUAUUUUUUUAAACCAAGAAUGGUGAAAAUGAGAAAAAAAAAAAAAAAGGAAGUGACACGUGGCAUAAGGGUGGCCAUGCAAAGGUGGCCAUGCACCAUUCCAAACAAAUCUAACCCCACUUGCUUUUAUUUGAUCCUGAUCUUAAUCCCAUAUUUUGGAUGGUUCCUUCUGGUCAUGUGGACCAUGUUCUUAGUUAAAAUAACAUGCUAUUGGGAUAAAACAUUUUAUAACUUUGACAUGUUCAAGAAUAAAAAAAAUGUCAAUGAUAAGGAAGGAGGACAAGAGGUGCAGCGACCCCAAGUUUAGAAUAGGUUUGGUCCAUAAGAAGUUAUUAACAAAAAAACAUAUUUUCUUCUUGUACUUUUGAAAGUGUUAUAUUUUGAGUAAUGAGAGUAUUUUUUUUUUCCUUUUUUCUUUUUCUUUAAUACAUUAUUGGUGAUUAUUCUUCGCUGGAAUACCCACAUGGCUAUUAGAUGUUUCAUUGCAAAUAUGGUUUUAUAUGAUAGAAUUAUGAUUGAACUUAUAAAACAUAUUUUCUGCAUAUUGUUUAGCUGGGCCUCCCAACUACCUCUCGGUAAUAUCCUCUUAACAUAGGAAGUAUAAACUAAUAGCAAGUGCUAAUAUUUCCCAUUCUUACACAAGAAAGACCCAAGGAAAAGGUAUAUUUAGAAAUUUCAUUUCUAUGUUCCCAAACAAUAGAAAAUUCAAUAUAUGGCACUUCACUCUCUACUUUUCUUUCCCACAUUUUCUCAUAACCCAAAUAUGCUCACCUCUCAUUCCAAGAUCCAACCAAAAUUGAAAAACAAUUACAAAAAUCCUAAUAAAAGAGACAGAUUAUACUACAAUUACACUUUCUUACAAGAAAUUGAAGUGCAUAAGGUAUAACAAUUGAGUGGAACAAAUAAAAACCAGCCUCCUUUAACACAUUUGCUAAUGAAAUACUUGCAGAGACACUUUAAAUUCCUCCAGACUCCAAAAGAUACUGAUCAACAGCCUCGGCACCUGCAGCGACGAGACCAACACCUGAUACGAUAUAAUGCACAAACUCGGCAUGAAAUCAGUAAGACUCAGUUAGAUUACAGAAAAAUUUUCAAACAUUCUUUUUUUCUUUCCAAUCAUAAUAAAACAUCAGAGUAUUUUCAAAAAUAAAAAUCAAAGAUUCCCCUUUCAAAAGCAAACACCUAUGAUUCUGAAAUUGGAGCUUUUAACCCAGAAGAUAAAAAAAGACGAAAAAGAAAAAACCCAACCCCUGACCCGUUCGGAAAUAAGAGGAGAAACCACCGAAUGAUGAGGGCAUGAUUUAGGAUUUACUUACCUGAUUUUCCUAAAAAUCGAGAAUCAUCGGAGGGUGGAGGUUUGGUGUCGGUGGUGGUAACUCGUCAAGUGGACUGAAUCUUACAACGGCGACGUCGGCCAGGCAACCCCUCAUAGUCAGAUUGCUCCCCAUCCGAGGUCUUUCAUAGUUGCAAAUUUGCAAUUGCAGGUGGUGUCAUCUAUCGAUAGUCUUGACAGCAACGGUGGUGUGCAAGGUGUGCGAGAUUGGGAGCCCAAAUUGGUAAAGUAAAAAAUGCAUUUUAUAUGGAUUUACAUUGAUGAUAUGAGAUAGGAUUUGAUGGUAACUUAUUAAAUUAAAUUAAAUGACUGAGUCCAAAAUGAUAUGGAUGGUAUGAGAUGGGAUUUAAUGAAAAAUUAAAUGUAUUUAUGUGGCAGAUUGAGAAUUAAAUCCCCAAUUCUUAGUAUUAUUAUAAAUAGCUUUGAGUUAAAUGUGAAAUUUUUUUGUUUUAUUAAGUUUUUAAGCUUAUUUAAUUUCUAUCUAUUUUUUAUAUAUAAUUUACAUAACAUUUUUAUAAUUUUAUGAAAUUUCUAAUUAUCUUAUUUUGCGUAUUGCUUGAUACUGAAUCAAGAUGUCGAGACUAACAUAUCUCGAGAUCAUCUGAGUCAAUGAUCGAUAUCGCGACUUUGAACCAUACUUGUCUCCAAUCCCUCAACAGUGAUGAAAAAUGAGGCCAACACAGUUGCCUUUUUUAUUAUUAUCAGUUAAAAAUAAUGAAUCUAUAUCCAUGUAUUAUCAAGAAUAAAUAAGUUUAUAUUUAUAAAUUUUUAUUAUAAAUUUAUAUUUACACAUAUCCUUGAUUUUCCUCAAGGUCUUAUUUUUAAUUGAUUACAAAGCAUUAGUACUUAUUUAAUUUAAAAUGUAUUAAAUAAAUAUUAAUAUUACAUAAAUAAAUAAAAGUUGAAUUUGAAUAAAAAUUAUAUAUAUAUAUAUAUAUAUCAUAUUCUACAUGAAUAUGAAUCUAUUAUUAAAGAUACAUGGUAAUAAGUGUUAAUAUUAUAUAAUCAAAUGAGAGUACAAAAAUUUUCUAUUAUUAACAAUACAUUAUUAUAAUAAUGAAAUACUUAAUAUCAUGUAAAUAAAUAAAAGUCAUCAUAAAUUUAAAUUUGAAUUUAUAUUUUUAAACCCAUCAAAUUUAUUUUUAUUUAUUUUUAAUUUUAAGAAUUUUUUCUCCACUUCAAAUAGCAAUAAUAGUGUUUAUUCAUACUAAUUAUACUUAAAAUUGAUGAAAUUUAUGAAAAAAGAAGAAGUAAAAACCCAUACCCUUCAAAUUUACAUUUGUUUUAAUUUUAAGAUUUUUUUUCUCUACUUCAAGUAAUAAUAAUAAUAAUGUUUAUUCAUACUAAUAGCAAUAAAAUUAACGAAAAUGAUGAAAAAUAAAAAAUAAAAAAUAAAUAGUAAAAACUUCAAAAUUUUAAUAAUAAUAAUAAUAUUUAUUCAUACUAAUAAACAAUUCUUCAUAAUCAUAACCUACUAAUUUCCAACAAUUAUAAUUGAAAUUGUUUUGAAUAAACAAUGUAAUUUGUAUUUGAAGUUGAAGAAAAUUGUGAAAAUUAAAUGGGAAGGGUAGGGUUUUAAUUUUUUAUUUUAUUUAAAAUUUUUCCCUCAUUAAUUAAUUAAUUAAUUAAUUAAUUUAUUUAUUUAUUUAUGAAUUUUGAGUGAAAUUAUUAUGAAUCAACAAUUUUAUUGAUAUUUAAAGUUUAAAAAAAAAAAAUCUAUGAAUUUUAAAUAAAUUUUGGAAGGUAUUUGUAAUGGGGUAUUUUUAUUUGCACUUUCCUAUUAUGUUGAAAUAUUGUUUGGUUUCAACAUUGUUUAUUCAAAAUAAUUUCAAUUAUAAUUAUUGGAAAUUAGGAGGUUAUGAUUAUGAAGAAUUGUUUAUUAGUAUGAAUAAACAUUAUUAUUAUUAUUAUUAUUAUUAUUUGAAGCAGAGAAAAAAAUUCAUAAUGCAUAGGGAGACCACAGAUUCUAUGGAUUCAACAAUUGAUAAACCUACUUGUUUAUGUUAUUGUCCCUAACCAUCUAUUCCAUUUUUGAAUUUACUUUUGGUGCAUUUAGUUUGUAACUUAUCUUAUGUUUUACUUAUUUUCAAUUUUUUUUUUUUAAGGUUAAGAUAGUAGUUUUUUUUUUUUUUAAAAAAAAAAAAAAAAACUCUUUUGAGCAAUACUUGAUUCUCUUGCUAUUCUUAUUUUUAACCAUUUUUUCAAUAAGAAAUUAUUUCUUUUUGGCGGAAUUGUAGGAAGUGGAUUGAAUCGGAAAAUUUAUUUGGGCCAGAUUGUGUUUCACUAGAGUCUUGAGAGAUGCAGCUUAGUGAGCUUAUAAUAAAAAGGUAGGCAUUUAAACGGACCAUACUGGUCCGAGUCAAUCUUAGUUUGGCCUAGUGGGCCUUCGGAAUUGCUCCAACAUGAAUUUCAAUGUCAACUUCAAUUUUUAAAAUUAAUAAUUAUACAUUUGUUUUAACUAUUUAUAACAAAUAUUAUCUUUGAAAAGUAAAUUUCAAUUAAUUUUUAUAUUUAAAUAAAAAUUAUUAUUAUUUUAAUUAUUUGUAUCCAAAUCAUACCCGAUAUAUUUGAUUUAUCUUACAAUGUUUCAACAUAAUAGGAAAUUGCAAAUAAAAAUACCCCAUUACAAAUACCUUCCAAAAUUUAUUUAAAAUUCAUAUAUAUUUAUAUAUAUAUAUAUAUAUAUAUAUAUAUAUAUAUAUGAAUUUUAAAUAUCAAUAAAAUUGUUGAUUCAUAAUAAUUUCACUUAGAAUUCAUAAAAAAAUACGAGGAAAAAAAUUAAAAUAAAAAUUUUUAAGAUCCCUACCCUUCCCAUUUAAUUUUAACAAUUUUUUUCUGAGCAUUGAUUUGUUGAUCGAUUAUCAAGGGCCACUCAUUUGCUUUGUUGGAUCUAACUCUCUGUAUGCAUGCUCUGUUUUGGCUUUGUUUGUUUUUUUUUUUUUUUUUUAUCUUUGCUUUCUCUUGUAAAUAUCUGAUGCAUUGUUCCUUCUCUGAACUUGAGAUAUAAAAAUCAUGCUCUUGUUCCUUGUGGAUUCCACCUUCUCCUAGCUCUUUGACAAUCCAUGAAAUAGAGCUAAGUUCAUACUCUAUUUUUAUGUUUUUAUUCUUCUUUGUUUGUUGUUGAUGGUGGGAUGAUAUUAUCAAUGGCUAAGUUGCUGGGAUUUGAGGAGUGAGGUUAUGGGGAAGUGAACUUAAUGGAGGAUUUCUAUGAUCAUAUCUAUGCUCCAAUCUAUUGGUUCAAAAUGUUGGCCAUGAGACUGCAUUGAAGUUUUGGUAUUUGGGAUCACUUUGCCAUCCGGGUUCAGUAAGCAACACAGUGGCAAUAAAGAUGCAUUGGUGUUAUUAAUUUGGGUGAAUAAGUUGGUUGUAUGAAUCGUGAAAGUUCAGGUUGUGCUUUGAGGAGAGUAUAUCUUGCAUCCUAUUAUUUUAAUUAUUAAUUUUGGAUGUUGAAAUAUGAUGUGAUCGCACUUCAUACAUCAUGGUUGUGUGAGGAAAAAGAAAGAUUGAAGAAAUGGUUGUGUGAAAUGGAAAUAAGAAUGAAAAGACCCUGGAGAGGGCAAAAAUGAAAAGAAAAAAAAAAUGAAAUGAUCCCAGAGAGGGCAAAUUAAGAAGGAAGUGAGAUCUUUAAGGUGAAAGUCCCAAAAGUUUACUUCGGGAAGACUCCGAAUGGGGAGUAUAUUUAGGUACAGAUGUGUAUCCUUUGGUGAAAGCUUGAGAACCAUAGUGCAUUGUGUGAUUGCGUGUAAGCAUUUGCAUCAUAAUUGCGUUUGGAAGAAGGAUUUGUAUUAUUUAUCAAGUGUAUGUUUGAAUAUAUUAUUCAAAACUAAAAUGACUUGUUUAUUUUGUAAAUUUAGAAUUGUUGAUAUACUAAACAUAUGAUUGAAUAAGGAAAAUGAUAAUUUUGAUUGUUUUAAAUUUAUAUGGUUAAGGUUUCUUUUAAUGUAUAUAUUGUAAAUGUAAUAUUGUAUUUUGACAUAUGGUUGUGUUAUUGACCUAGAAUUUCUAACCUAUUUGGGUGUAAAACACCCUACUGAGCAACGUGGAAAUGCCCAUCUCUUUAUUUUCUAAAAUUUUAGAUGCAAAUAUAGUUUCAGAGGGACCACAAGAAGUUCAAGAAGCGUUCUAGAAAGUAAAAGAACUAUAAUAAUAGUUGUUUUUAAAUUUAUAUUUCUCUUUUUAUAUGUACCAAUUUGAGUUAUAUGGACUUUUGUAUGUUAAAUUAUAUUUUGUUAAAUUGUAAAAUAUUUUUGGAAAUAUUUUUUUUAACUUAGAGAUUAUUGUAAAUAUUUCAGCUUUUGGGCAGAAAGAUGACUGGUGGAUUUAUUAUACUUGUGAAUAAGAGAUAGUGUGAUGGUUGGUUUUAGAAAAAUAAAAUAUUAUAGUAAAUCUUAACUUAAUAAGAGCAGGAUGAUCAUCAGCCUGCUCUUGAAGCAUCCAGGGAGGGCAUAUUCCAAGAAAGUUACGAAAAAUUGAGAUGAAGAAACUGCAGUGAAGCAAUUUCAUGGAAUUUUUGCUUGGAGACUCACGAAUUACAACCAAUUGCUCAGGGUUGGGAAAAUUGGAAUUGGUGUAAAUUGUGACUGGGUCUUUGUAAAACCCACAUCAUUUAGCUAGAAAAGCUUUGAAAAUACAUUUUAAUUUAAUUUAUAAUUUCUAUGUUAGAAUAUUAGAUCCAAUUCCUAAAAAGCUUAUCAGCCUUGUAUAUAUGGCUAAGCAGGUCAACUUCCCAAGCUCAAGCGCAUUAAGAAAUUCUCAGACCUACCUUUUUUUUAUAGGAUUUUUGGGAAGUUUUACAGCAAUUGAAAACAAAUCCUAAAAGGGUCGGGAAAUUAUUUGAAAAAAUAUGGCAGAUUUGGUCACAUAGGGGACAAAGAUGUGAUAAAGUUGGUACAACGCCCAAAAUUAAACUCUCAAUUAAUUUAAUUAAACAAAUAAUCA
RNAcentral lists this long non-coding RNA (24521 nucleotides) under Vitis vinifera (wine grape). Its description in RNAcentral is "long non-coding RNA (VVIN_LNC003761)". Lineage: Eukaryota; Viridiplantae; Streptophyta; Magnoliopsida; Vitales; Vitaceae. The record is from RNAcentral.